GAAAAAGUGCUGAUGGGAAGAAGUACGGAAUUCUAGGUUUAUAGAGAGAGUCGCCAAGGCUGGAAGCGACUUAGCUGAACACUCCUGAAAUGCCUCCCUGAAUUCUGAUGGGAAAUUUAGUAUCGUCAGACGAAAUGUGGGUCGUUACCCCCACCCCUAGAGUUGGAGUAUCUGCUAAAUUUGGCAAUACUCAAGUCAGAGUGGAACCGCGCAAAGCGUCUCUGUA
RNAcentral lists this non-coding RNA (226 nucleotides) under Listeria monocytogenes. Its description in RNAcentral is "T-box". It matches the Rfam family "T-box leader". From Rfam's summary of the family: Uncharged tRNA acts as the effector for transcription antitermination of genes in the T-box leader family. T-boxes are found upstream of many aminoacyl-tRNA synthetase genes and some amino acid biosynthetic genes usually in Gram-positive bacteria. RNAcentral also lists the same sequence under 2 other names. The record is from RNAcentral. Lineage: Bacteria; Bacillati; Bacillota; Bacilli; Caryophanales; Listeriaceae.